AGAGUUUGAUCAUGGCUCAGAUUGAACGCUGGCGGCAGGCCUAACACAUGCAAGUCGAACGGUAACAGGAAGCAGCUUGCUGCUUUGCUGACGAGUGGCGGACGGGUGAGUAAUGUCUGGGAAACUGCCUGAUGGAGGGGGAUAACUACUGGAAACGGUAGCUAAUACCGCAUAACGUCGCAAGACCAAAGAGGGGGACCUUCGGGCCUCUUGCCAUCAGAUGUGCCCAGAUGGGAUUAGCUUGUUGGUGGGGUAACGGCUCACCAAGGCGACGAUCCCUAGCUGGUCUGAGAGGAUGACCAGCCACACUGGAACUGAGACACGGUCCAGACUCCCUACGGGAGGCAGCAGUGGGGAAUAUUGCACAAUGGGCGCAAGCCUGAUGCAGCCAUGCCGCGUGUAUGAAGAAGGCCUUCGGGUUGUAAAGUACUUUCAGCGGGGAGGAAGGUGUUGUGGUUAAUAACCACAGCAAAUUGACGUUACCCGCAGAAGAAGCACCGGCUAACUCCGUGCCAGCAGCCGCGGUAAUACGGAGGGUGCAAGCGUUAAUCGGAAUUACUGGGCGUAAAGCGCACGCAGGCGGUCUGUUAAGUCAGAUGUGAAAUCCCCGGCUCAACCUGGGAACUGCAUCUGAUACUGGCAGGCUUGAGUCUCGUAGAGGGGGGUAGAAUUCCAGGUGUAGCGGUGAAAUGCGUAGAGAUCUGGAGGAAUACCGGUGGCGAAGGCGGCCCCCUGGACGAAGACUGACGCUCAGGUGCGAAAGCGUGGGAGCAAACAGGAUUAGAUACCCUGGUAGUCCACGCCGUAAACGAUGUCGACUUGGAGGUUGUGCCCUUGAGGCGUGCUUCCGGAGCUAACGCGUUAAGUCGACCGCCUGGGGAGUACGGCCGCAAGGUUAAAACUCAAAUGAAUUGACGGGGGCCCGCACAAGCGGUGGAGCAUGUGGUUUAAUUCGAUGCAACGCGAAGAACCUUACCUGGUCUUGACAUCCACGGAAGUUUUCAGAGAUGAGAAUGUGCCUUCGGGAACCGUGAGACAGGUGCUGCAUGGCUGUCGUCAGCUCGUGUUGUGAAAUGUUGGGUUAAGUCCCGCAACGAGCGCAACCCUUAUCCUUUGUUGCCAGCGGUCCGGCCGGGAACUCAAAGGAGACUGCCAGUGAUAAACUGGAGGAAGGUGGGGGAUGACGUCAAGUCAUCAUGGCCCUUACGACCAGGGCUACACACGUGCUACAAUGGCAUAUACAAAGAGAAGCGACCUCGCGAGAGCAAGCGGACCUCAUAAAGUAUGUCGUAGUCCGGAUUGGAGUCUGCAACUCGACUCCAUGAAGUCGGAAUCGCUAGUAAUCGUGGAUCAGAAUGCCACGGUGAAUACGUUCCCGGGCCUUGUACACACCGCCCGUCACACCAUGGGAGUGGGUUGCAAAAGAAGUAGGUAGCUUAACCUUCGGGAGGGCGCUUACCACUUUGUGAUUCAUGACUGGGGUGAAGUCGUAACAAGGUAACCGUAGGGGAACCUGCGGUUGGAUCACCU
RNAcentral lists this ribosomal RNA (1530 nucleotides) under Citrobacter koseri. RNAcentral describes it as "bacterial SSU rRNA". It matches the Rfam family "Bacterial small subunit ribosomal RNA". Lineage: Bacteria; Pseudomonadati; Pseudomonadota; Gammaproteobacteria; Enterobacterales; Enterobacteriaceae. The record is from RNAcentral.